AACGAACGCUGGCGGCAUGCCUAACACAUGCAAGUCGAACGAGACCUUCGGGUCUAGUGGCGCACGGGUGCGUAACGCGUGGGAACCUGCCCUUAGGUUCGGAAUAACUCCCCGAAAGGGGUGCUAAUACCGGAUAAUGUCUUCGGACCAAAGAUUUAUCGCCUUUGGGUGGGCCCGCGUUGGAUUAGCUUGUUGGUAGGGUAAAAGCCUACCAAGGCGACGAUCCAUAGCUGGUCUGAGAGGAUGAUCAGCCACACUGGGACUGAGACACGGCCCAGACUCCUACGGGAGGCAGCAGUGGGGAAUAUUGGACAAUGGGCGAAAGCCUGAUCCAGCAAUGCCGCGUGAGUGAUGAAGGCCUUAGGGUUGUAAAGCUCUUUUACCCGGGAUGAUAAUGACAGUACCGGGAGAAUAAGCUCCGGCUAACUCCGUG
Molecule: ribosomal RNA, 433 nt
Filed under: uncultured bacterium
Lineage: Bacteria
Description: partial 16S ribosomal RNA
Rfam family: Bacterial small subunit ribosomal RNA
Source: RNAcentral